RNAcentral lists this long non-coding RNA (1292 nucleotides) under Mytilus galloprovincialis (Mediterranean mussel). The record is from RNAcentral. Lineage: Eukaryota; Metazoa; Mollusca; Bivalvia; Mytilida; Mytilidae.
GUUCAACUACAUUUUACAAGGCCAAAAAGAAAGUUGAAUCGUGAAGUCAAAAAGCAAUAUUUUUUUAAUCUGAGUAUGCAAAUUGAAGAUUAUGUUAUAUAUUUUACAUUAAACAUAUUCGAAAAACAAAAACAUGUAUUUUGAGAGUCCCAGACACUAUAUAAAUUGACAGUUUUCCCAUCUAUUCCACGUGUUUUAGAGUGAUAGUAAACACGUAGUAGCCCACAAUGCAUUGCAGUUCAUUGAGUCGAUUGGUCAGUUUUUCAAGGUCAUGUUUACGAUCUAUUUUUGAAAUUAGUAUGCAAAUAUAUUCUGACGUCAGGAAAUCUAGAGUUCUCGACCUGUUAAACUCUUAAAUUUAAUAAGGUUUUAUUUAUGAUAAAUAUCACACCGCUAAAUGAUAAACACAUUCACAUUAGCUUAAUUUCAAAGUAAACAAAAAACGUUACGGUAGAUCAAAAUUAACAUGAAAAGUAUCUGGAUUCAUAAAAUCAACAUAGUUAAAAAUAAAAUAUUCUCGUACAGAAUAAAUUCAUCUUUUCUCUAAAAUAGGUCUUCUUGGAAGUCUUCAAAACCCAUGGCGAUACAGCUAUCACCAAAACACAGUACAGUAAAUAUAAUUACGUUUUUAAAAAAGUCCAAUAUAGGUAACACAACAGCAAUACAGUCAACAUUACGCAAUACAAAUCACACGUGUAGUUCAACGGAUAAAUCUAGGUCAACAGUAAAAAUGGUUCUUUUGGUAAAAUCGAAACUUUAGACUAUGCAUGGCGAUACAGUUAUCACCGAUAAAAAUUGAAUGAUGUCAAAUAAAACUAUUAUAUAUAAAUAAACAGGAUCCAAAUGUUAUAGAAAUGAAAUAAUGUAUGAUGCAACGAGAUCAAUCUCACGUGCUUUCUGGUUGCGAACGAAAUACAUGUAGACGUUCAUUAAUAAUUCACAGUACGUAUACGAGACGGGACAUGGUCUGUUCUUCUUCUUCCGAAAAAUCAAUUUAAAUGUUGGUAUUAAUAAACGUUCAGAUAUAAAUUUUCAAAUACAAUUAAAGUGUUCAGCAUCAUGGCGGCAUAUAUCAGGAUCCAUCAGGAUCCAUCAGGAACAGUCGGUCAACUUCACAAGUACAAAUAUCCAAAAUCCAUUGAAAAACAAAAUCCAAAAUAUGUUUAAAUCAUUAUUUAUGAUCGUUUAGGGUCCCCACCAUAAUACAGACUAGGGGCCCCUAGCAUGGUAGCAUGGAUGGAGGCGAUUAUAUACGGACACAUAAAAACACAUCACCUUCUAUUUCUACAUUU